GGCAUAUCAAAAUUGGAUAGCCAAGCAUGAAUCUGAGAAAAUACUUCCUGGACUGAAGCUGUCUCCUGAACAAUUGUUCUUUGUUGGGUUUGCUCAGCAAUGGUGUAGUUCCUAUAAACCAAAGGGCGUAGAAAUGCGAAAGCAUGAUACACACACCACGCAAAAAUACAGAGUCAUCGGAACUCUCUCAAACUUUGACAAGUUUUCCGAGGCGUUUCAAUGUCCUGUCGACAGCCCCAUGAACCCGACGAAGAAGUGUUCCGUUUGGUGAAGUUAACACAAAUAGGGCCUAUUUUUGUUAAAUUAGAAGUUGUAGCAUAGCUAGGCGCAAUGGAUACGGUACUCCUUUUGACCGCGCCCAUGUAACCAAACAUUAAGUCAUAGUCACAAUUUUAAAACCCCGUAGAUAUCUGCACUUGUAAUAGACAAUUCUUCAUGUUAAGUAGUACGACCACGGUAGGAAUUAACCGAGUAGUAUACUUAUAACCGUAUUGGGUAUCUCGCACGUGGUCGUCYCAGAGAAYAUACUSUACCCKUUCUUUCAAAACGAGAAUAAUUCAAUGUUAAACGCUGUGAAUAGUUGCCUCUGACAUGUUUUUUUUUUGCGGUUUCAUAACUAAAUGUGUCUUGUCAGACUGAUAAAAGUCGUUGCAUCGACCUUUUUCAAAAGGUCUGUUAUAAGAUCGUGAAUAAAUCAUGAAGCCUGACC
Molecule: long non-coding RNA, 709 nt
Organism: Exaiptasia diaphana
Lineage: Eukaryota; Metazoa; Cnidaria; Anthozoa; Actiniaria; Aiptasiidae
Exons: 3
Source: RefSeq, a predicted model, not a curated record